GUUCUUAGGGCCUCCUGUCCUCUGCCAGGAGAGGGGAAGCUUUGUGUGGCUGAGUGGCCAGGAAGGAUCUGCUCAGGAGCAACACUGAUCCCCCAGGGUGGCUGGGAGAUCUCCCCAGGCUUCCUGGGAGCACAAACUUCCCUUUCAAAGGUUUUGUGAACCUUAUGAAGCAGAGCCAGAGCUCUGGGAGCCACCUGCAGCACAGCAGAACUCCCCAGAGGAGGACGAGAUGUACAUUUAACUCCCUCUGCUUUAGUUACAUGAGCCAGUGAAAAUAUCAAAUAACUCUGCCAGCCUGGGUGCAGCAGACGAGGCCUGGGGCUGCUUAAUUUGGCACCAAGAUCCCCCAGGAGCUGAAGGAUUGGAAGGGUCGAGCGCUUUCCCCUCCUUCCUUCCAGCUGGCUGAAAGCACAUGACUCUUCCAUCUGCUAAACAAACUAAAGAAGCCAAAUACCGUCUGAUUUCUCCGUGGAAAAUUAACCCGAUUAUUCGAUAAUGCUGCUGAAUUUAUCAGGGGCUUUUCCAUUGAGGCGUUCAGUGCAGUAAUUAGACUCGGUAAUUGUGGAGGGCUGAACGUGAGCAGCUCGCACAAAAGGUGUUCACUGAAGCUCUCCCUGCGGCCCCGCUGGAUUUUGGCUGGGGCUGCUGGAUUUUGGCUGGGGCUGCUGGAUUUUGGCUGGGGCUGCUGGAUUUUGGCUGGGGCUGCCUUUACACAGGGCGCCGAUGAGCUGCUCAUUACCAAAGCUCAUCAAAAUUACACCGAGGGAAGGAAGCCGGCGGUUGUGUCUGAGCGAGGAGUCGCUGCCAAGAAACGCAGUCUCGAAGCCUUUACCCCCUUCACUGGCGAGCGUGAGCGCUCCCAAUCUGCUCGAAUUCACCCCAAAAACUGAGCUGCUGCCCGGGCUAGGCGGCCCCCGGAACCAAAGAGCGCGGCCCGGCUGCCGCCCGGCCCCGCGCGUGGCGGACGGAGGCGGGAGGCGGCCAGCGCGGCCCCGGCGGCGGGAGCCCCGCUCGGGGCGGCGGGACCCGGCCCGGAGCUGCCAUGGCCCGCAGCCGCUCUCGGAAGCGGUCGCGGAGCAGGAGCAAAAGCGACUCUCGGAGCAGGCAGGAGAGGAAGGAGAAGAAGAGGAGGAAGAGCAGCAAGGACUCGCAGCAGGGCAGCAGCUCUCCACUGAGGAAGAGGAUCUCUGGCUCUCACGGACACACCUCGAGCUUGGCAGCAGCCAGGGAAGAAAAGAAAAAGGAAGGAAAGGACAAAAAGAAGAGGAAGGCUAGUACCUCUUCUGGGACGUCUUCGUCCACCAGCUCUUCCUCAUCUUCCUCUUCCUCCAGCUCCUCUUCUGAUGACUCCAGUGACAGCGACUCCAAAGUGAAGAAGAGUCAAGACAGCAAAAAAAAGCGAGUGAAACAAAAAGACAAAAAGAAGAGGAAGAAGAAGAAGAAAAAAAUAAAGAAGAAAUCAAAGAAGAAGGCAAAGGAGAGGGCUAAGGAGGAGAAAGCCAAGGGAGAAGAGGUGCCCGGGCCCUCGCUGGAGCAGUGGCAGAAGGAGUCAGUGGUGGACUCUGGGCCAGUUCUGACAGAUGAACAGAAAUCCCGGAUCCAGGCCAUGAAGCCAAUGACAAAGGAGGAGUGGGACGCGAGGCAGAGCGUCAUAAGGAGAGUGGUGGAUCCCGAAACAGGGAGAACCAGGCUCAUUAAAGGGGACGGGGAAGUCCUGGAAGAAAUCGUCAGCAAGGAGAGACACAAGGAGAUUAACAAGCAAGCCACGCGUGGGGACGGGCUGGCCUUCCAGGUGAGGACGGGAAUGCUGCAGUGAGGGCAGGCACCAGGCAGCCCAGGAGCCCCUCCUGCUGCCCCUGCCAGCCCGAGGGGAGCCUCUGCCUCAGGACCUCGCAGACAGCACCGUGUCAAGAUGUUCCCCAGGGGCCCUUUCCAGCUGCUCUCACACCAGGCAUUGGAACGAUGCACUAACAGCAAGGAGGAGAAGGAAGUUGUACAGAAGGUUUGCCACACACACGCGAGUCAUCGGCACGGCACACGCGGGGCGUUCCCGGCGCCCUCGGGCAUCCCCCGCUGCUUCCCCACGCACAGCUGGUACCCCUAGAGCAAUUUUUUAUAAAUAAAAUAUAACUAACAUUGUUGGAAUAUAAAAUUGACAGUCGAGGGUAUCAACAGGCAGAGGGAGGGGACCGUAAGGCUUCUAGAACUAAUAGGAAAUGCAGCAAACAGUGGCGAUACCUGAAGAAGGGGCUGCUACAGCAAGCACGGCGGCUGCUGGGAGGGUGGUGGUGACCCUUUGGCUGAUUUCUGCUCUGGGCUCGUGCCCCCGACACUGUAAACUGUUUUUGGUAUUAGGAUUUUGCCUCAUCUGACUGAGUGAUCUGAGCAAACCCAGGAAAACGACUCGGAGGGAAUGCACGGGCUCCUCUCACUGGUUUUUUAAAAGACUUUAAAGGGACCAGCGUCAGGUAGAAAGUCCGGCCUAAGGGUGCAGUAAUAUAAAAAGCUGCUUUUCGUAAAAAAUCUGAGCUCUGCAGCAGAGUUUGAUUCCCAUGGAAACAGAAAAGCAACCCCAAAGCCCGAGGCUGUGUUGUGCUGAUGUGCAGAACAGGACGUGGGCUGUCACCGAGGGCUGCCCAGACAACGGCCGAGGGAGGAGGACAAGAAACUUCCCAUUCUCUCCUUUCAAAGCAAACAAGUUACUC
Molecule: RNA transcript, 2705 nt
Organism: Pyrgilauda ruficollis (rufous-necked snowfinch)
Lineage: Eukaryota; Metazoa; Chordata; Aves; Passeriformes; Passeridae
Gene: ARL6IP4
Gene name: ADP ribosylation factor like GTPase 6 interacting protein 4
Exons: 7
Source: RefSeq, a predicted model, not a curated record